Molecule: ribosomal RNA, 915 nt
Filed under: Volvatella sp. V1
Lineage: Eukaryota; Metazoa; Mollusca; Gastropoda; Volvatellidae
Description: partial 16S ribosomal RNA
Rfam family: Bacterial large subunit ribosomal RNA
Source: RNAcentral
ACUUUUAUUGCGAUAGAAAGUCUUAGGUUUACAAAAAUAAAAACAGAAGUGGUGAAUAUAAAUUUUGGUAUCUUACUUUUUGUAUAACGGUUAAACAAGAAUAUUGCCUUAUGGUAUUUCCCGAAAUAAAAAGAUCUAAGUUGAAGUGUUAUCCUAUUAGAGUAUAAACUUGAUGUGGCAAUAUCAAGGGAAGAACUCAGCUUAGUGGCGAAAAGCUUACAAUUUUUAUAAUAUCUGGAUAGAGGAUAAAGGUAUGUAGUACCUAUAAUAGACAUAAGGUGUUGAGAUCUUAUGUUUAAAGAAUAAAAUUUACUAGAUUUAUUUUUUUGGGUUAAUCCUCAAAAAUUAUUCUUAAAAUAAAAUUACUCUAAAUUUUUAAUCUUUAUAUAAUCUUCUUUUUUUAGUAAACUUUUACUAAGAUUAAUAAUGUUUAAAUUAGUAAUCAUCCAUAAUUUUCUAAAAUUAAACCUACAAUAAGGAAUUCGGCAAAUAUUAGUCUCGUCUGUUUAACAAAAACAUAGUCUAAAGAAGUAUAUAUUUUAGAUAAAACCUGCCCAGUGCUAGUUAUAUAAGUAAAUGGCCGCAGUACCCUGACUGUGCUAAGGUAGCGUAAUCAGUUGGCUUUUAAUUGAAGUCGUGUAUGAAUGGAUCCACGGGGCUAAGCUGUCUCAUUAAAGGUUAAUUUGAACUUAGUUAAAGGGUGAAAAUACCCUUAAAUAGAUAAAGGACGAUAAGACCCUUGGAGUUUUUAUUAAAGUCUAUAUAAAGUUAGACUAUAUUUUUGCUGGGGCGGCAAAGAGGUAAAUAAUAUAGCCCUCUAUAUAUAAUUAGCCGAUAUUUAUAAGAACAGUUAAACUACCCGAGGGAUAACAGCAUUAUUCUUUAUAGAGUUUGUGACCUCGAUGUUGGACUAGG